CGAAAGCCUGACGGAGCAACGCCGCGUGAGGGAGGAAGGCCUUAGGGUUGUAAACCUCUUUUCUCUGGGAAGAAUAACUGACGGUACCAGAGGAAUAAGCCUCGGCUAACUCCGUGCCAGCAGCCGCGGUAAGACGGAGGAGGCAAGCGUUAUCCGGAAUUAUUGGGCGUAAAGCGUCCGUAGGUGGUCAAACAAGUCAGCUGUUAAAGUGCGGAGCUUAACUCCGUAAAGGCGGUUGAAACUGAUUGACUAGAGUGCGGUAGGGGUUACGGGAAUUCCCAGUGUAGCGGUGAAAUGCGUAGAUAUUGGGAAGAACACCGGUGGCGAAGGCGCGUAACUGGGCCUGCACUGACACUGAGGGACGAAAGCUAGGGGAGCG
This 379-nucleotide ribosomal RNA is filed under the name uncultured cyanobacterium. Its description in RNAcentral is "bacterial SSU rRNA". It matches the Rfam family "Bacterial small subunit ribosomal RNA", at positions 376 to 770 of the family's 1533-position model. Lineage: Bacteria; Bacillati; Cyanobacteriota. The record is from RNAcentral.